CGCUGGCCCAAAGGUAGUGAGUUAUCUCAAUUGAUUGUUCACAGUCAGUUACAGAUCGAACUCCUUGUUCUACUCUUCCCCACUUUUUACUACUGCACCACUUGACUAGUCUUUU
Callithrix jacchus (white-tufted-ear marmoset) is the source of this 115-nucleotide Y RNA. It matches the Rfam family "Y RNA". Rfam says of the family: Y RNAs are components of the Ro ribonucleoprotein particle (Ro RNP), in association with Ro60 and La proteins. The Y RNAs and Ro60 and La proteins are well conserved, but the function of the Ro RNP is not known. The record is from Ensembl. Lineage: Eukaryota; Metazoa; Chordata; Mammalia; Primates; Cebidae.